UCAGGCCUAACACAUGCAAGUCGAACGGCAGCACGGACUUCGGUCUGGUGGCGAGUGGCGAACGGGUGAGUAAUACAUCGGAACGUGCCCAGUCGUGGGGGAUAACGUAGCGAAAGCUACGCUAAUACCGCAUACGAUCUAAGGAUGAAAGCGGGGGAUCGCAAGACCUCGCGCGAUUGGAGCGGCCGAUGGCAGAUUAGGUAGUUGGUGGGGUAAAGGCUCACCAAGCCGACGAUCUGUAGCUGGUCUGAGAGGACGACCAGCCACACUGGGACUGAGACACGGCCCAGACUCCUACGGGAGGCAGCAGUGGGGAAUUUUGGACAAUGGGCGCAAGCCUGAUCCAGCCAGUCCGCGUGCAGGAUGAAGGCCCUCGGGUU
RNAcentral lists this ribosomal RNA (380 nucleotides) under uncultured bacterium. RNAcentral describes it as "bacterial SSU rRNA". It matches the Rfam family "Bacterial small subunit ribosomal RNA", at positions 43 to 424 of the family's 1533-position model. The record is from RNAcentral.